Long non-coding RNA from Syngnathus acus (greater pipefish), 2529 nucleotides. RefSeq lists it as uncharacterized. NCBI's taxonomy places the organism in Eukaryota, Metazoa, Chordata, Actinopteri, Syngnathiformes, Syngnathidae. The transcript has 2 exons. The record is from RefSeq and is a predicted model, not a curated record.
CUCGUUGUCACAGCAAGACAGCGACACUAUGUCCCCGCUGCUCUCCAAGGCGCCGACCAGCACCUGAACGCAGCGGCGGGAGAGCCCGAUUACGUUUGCGGCCCCUCUGAGGAUCCAACCUUCCUUGAGGAAGCAGCUGAGCAGACCCAGCUGACGCUCGGACGGACGGUACGCCCCUACAUGACAAGGGCGGGGGAAGAUCUCAAAGUGGGGAAUCUGUUGGCCAAACGAGUAAGACAAAACAAAGAGUCACCGGCGGUGACAACGGCAGGAGCACUUUUGUCACAGUACCGGUUGCGGUACCGAAAGCAAUUUCAAGUGUUUGUGUCGGCAGAUGGAGCAGAAGCAGUGGCGGCGGUCCCAUUAGAUUGAGUCAUUAAGUACCAGGAGCAGUCAAAUGCCAGCAAGAUCAAGUAUCAGAACUGGUACGAGCAGUUGAAACUGGUCUAAGUACCAGUCGAAACAUACCAAAGUACCAGCAGCGGUAGUCGAGUACCGCAAAAUGAUCAAAAUCAAUAUCAGCAAUGGUGGCGAUGGAUCGAUACCGACGCCAGCAAUAGCAAUCACUACAAGUCAAAUAGCAAGUACGAGUUGAACUUGGGUGGAAGUACCGGAGUGUUGAAGAACGCUUUGAGCAGUCUGGUGUCCACCACAUGACCCGACACAUCCGAUCUCCACAGUCGAAGUCCCGGUCGGGCUGCGAACACUUGAAGGUCACUCUGCUUGCAAAGAGCCGGCAGAAAGCAGGCCCCGAACCUUCCACUACUGACACACACACACACACGUACGCACGUUUACUGUCCCCCCCAAAAAAUGACAACACAUAAUCAAUCAUGGCAAAACUGCAAAAAUUCCAGUAGAGCCCCGAGUGACACUUGAGGGUUACUUGAGACUUCAUGACUUGUGUGACUUGUGUGCAACUCCCAGAGGAGGGAGGGAGGGAGCCAGGCAGGCAGGCAGGCAGACACACACACGCACGCACACACACACACACAAACGUACACACACACACACACACAAACACACACGCAAACGCGCGCGCACACAGACACACACACACACCGCAUCCUGUUCACGCAGCGUGCAACACGUGACCCUCACCUCUUCCUGGGUUUGGCACCGAGCUGCUGGAUCUGCUGCGUGUGCAUGCAGUAUAGCAGCGAGCGUUGCUGCGUAGACACCAGGAGAACCUGGUGACUGUAGUCCAGCUGCACGACGCCACCCGGUUCCUCCAACAAGAGCACUGGCGUGCAUGUGCCCUGGAAAGACACACGUACGGCGUGAGUCACGUCGCCAGAUGCCAGGCGGAAUACAAGCAUCACUACUUGGCAUGAAACGAACACUAAAUUUGCCAUACCUUUAGCUUGAUUCACAUAAAUAACAAACUGCAUGUGGAGGACGAGCAACAGUGUUGAUUUGUGAAACAAAAAAAAGAUAAAAUCAUGUGACCGAAGACCCCCACGUGUGGCGCUUGGUGUCAACGUGGCGGCCUUGCGGUGUCACCUGAUCGAGGUCCAGAGCGGAGAAGACCACGCGGCCUUUGUCGUCCCCAGAGAAAAGUUUCAUGCCGUUGGUGCUCCACGCCAAAGACGUCACCGUGCCUUUGUGGAGGCCCACCACAUCGAAGCGCCGCAGCUGGACGCACACGCAAACACGUGCAAACUGAGCACAUCAUUUCACGCAAGUGAAAUCCCAGUGUGCGGCUUCGGGGCACGCAGCUCACCUGCUUGUUGCGUCCCGGCAACGGUGACACCAACUGGAAGACGGCCACUCGGCCUGAGGCCGUUCCCACGGCGACCAGGUCGUCGAAGCAACUCAGCAGCUUCACGGCCGUGAUGGCGUCGCACUUUCCCUGAACACAUGCACUCGUUUAAAAGAGCGGAUGGAUCGGAGCGCACCAGACAGGAAGACGAAAAAGAGCGCCACCUCCAGGCUGUACUUGUUCAUGUGAGCCAGGCGGCGGCAGUAGAGAUACAACAUGCCGAUGCUGCUGCCCACCGCCACAAAGUCGCGGCUGCUGUCUACCGCCGUCAGAUAGACCACCACUGAGCGGAAUCCCCGCUGAACCUGCAGACACAAUUUACAAUGCUGCUAAUGCUUCUGUGACCUGUACAUAGAUUGUACAUUAGUCCUUGUCCAGUCGUCUCCCGCAUACUCACGGUUUGGCGCAGAGUUUUUUUUUUUGUCAAUAUAUCAAUAUUAUUUAGAUUUGUUGUUUCUGAUUUGUUUUCCCUAUUUCUCAUUCCCCCAAUGCAUUUCAUUCCAAUUAUAGACGGAUUUCCCCUCUCCCAGCGACUAGGCAAAGUCCACUCUAUGCCACUUUACUCAUGGCCUCAUCGUGUAAAAUAUGUGCACAGGUGUUAUACUUUGGCUGGGAUGGCGUUCAGCAGGUGCUGGAGUGGGCAGAAUUCCCUCAACACGGAUGGCUGGCUCUCCAUGUUUCCGUUCUGUGGAGGAAGAACAAUUUCAUUUCUGAUCCCAAAGCCAUAUUUACAAGUGUUCAAUAAACAGCUACAUUCUUUAUAAAUA